Molecule: ribosomal RNA, 431 nt
Filed under: uncultured bacterium
Lineage: Bacteria
Description: partial 16S ribosomal RNA
Rfam family: Bacterial small subunit ribosomal RNA
Source: RNAcentral
CCUACGGGUGGCUGCAGUCGAGAAUCUUCCGCAAUGGGCGAAAGCCUGACGGAGCGACGCCGCGUGGAGGACGAAGGCCUUCGGGUUGUAAACUCCUGUCACGAGUUAAGCGUAAGCUCGAGAGGAAGCACUGGCUAACUCUGUGCCAGCAGCCGCGGUAAUACAGAGAGUGCGAACGUUGUUCGGAAUUACUGGGCUUAAAGCGCACGUAGGCGGCAUCGUAAGUGUCCGGUGAAAUCCCACGGCUCACCCGUGGAACUGCCUGGCAGACUGCGAUGCUCGAGUGUGGUAGGGGAGAGCGGAACUCCUGGUGGAGCGGUGAAAUGCGUAGAUAUCAGGAGGAACACCGGUGGCGAAGGCGGCUCUCUGGUCACACUGACGCUGAGGUGCGAAAGCUAGGGGAGCAAACGGGAUUAGAUACCCUAGUAGUC